This 74-nucleotide transfer RNA is filed under the name compost metagenome. RNAcentral's name for it is "tRNA-Met". It matches the Rfam family "tRNA". Rfam says of the family: Transfer RNA (tRNA) molecules are approximately 80 nucleotides in length. Their secondary structure includes four short double-helical elements and three loops (D, anti-codon, and T loops). Further hydrogen bonds mediate the characteristic L-shaped molecular structure. tRNAs have two regions of fundamental functional importance: the anti-codon, which is responsible for specific mRNA codon recognition, and the 3' end, to which the tRNAs corresponding amino acid is attached (by aminoacyl-tRNA synthetases). tRNAs cope with the degeneracy of the genetic code in two manners: having more than one tRNA (with a specific anti-codon) for a particular amino acid; and 'wobble' base-pairing, i.e. permitting non-standard base-pairing at the 3rd anti-codon position. The record is from RNAcentral.
GCGGGUUUGGCGCAGCUGGUAGUCGCGUAGGUCUCAUAAUCCUAAGGUCGUGAGUUCGAUCCUCACAACCCGCA